GCGAGCGGCGGAUGGGUGAGUAACACGUGGGGAACCUGCCCCUAAGUCUGGGAUACCAUUUGGAAACAGGUGCUAAUACCGGAUAAUAAAGCAGAUCGCAUGAUCAGCUUUUGAAAGGCGGCGUAAGCUGUCGCUAAGGGAUGGCCCCGCGGUGCAUUAGCUAGUUGGUAAGGUAACGGCUUACCAAGGCGACGAUGCAUAGCCGAGUUGAGAGACUGAUCGGCCACAUUGGGACUGAGACACGGCCCAAACUCCUACGGGAGGCAGCAGUAGGGAAUCUUCCACAAUGGACGCAAGUCUGAUGGAGCAACGCCGCGUGAGUGAAGAAGGUUUUCGGAUCGUAAAGCUCUGUUGUUGGUGAAGAAGGAUAGAGGUAGUAACUGGCCUUUAUUUGACGGUAAUCAACCAGAAAGUCACGGCUAACUACGUGCCAGCAGCCGCGGUAAUACGUAGGUGGCAAGCGUUGUCCGGAUUUAUUGGGCGUAAAGCGAGCGCAGGCGGAAAAAUAAGUCUAAUGUGAAAGCCCUCGGCUUAACCGAGGAACUGCAUCGGAAACUGUUUUUCUUGAGUGCAGAAGAGGAGAGUGGAACUCCAUGUGUAGCGGUGGAAUGCGUAGAUAUAUGGAAGAACACCAGUGGCGAAGGCGGCUCUCUGGUCUGCAACUGACGCUGAGGCUCGAAAGCAUGGGUAGCGAACAGGAUUAGAUACCCUGGUAGUCCAUGCCGUAAACGAUGAGUGCUAAGUGUUGGGAGGUUUCCGCCUCUCAGUGCUGCAGCUAACGCAUUAAGCACUCCGCCUGGGGGAGUACGACCGCAAGGUUGAAACUCAAAGGAAUUGACGGGGGCCCGCACAAGCGGUGGGAGCAUGUGGUUUA
RNAcentral lists this ribosomal RNA (874 nucleotides) under uncultured bacterium. RNAcentral's name for it is "bacterial SSU rRNA". It matches the Rfam family "Bacterial small subunit ribosomal RNA", at positions 91 to 948 of the family's 1533-position model. The record is from RNAcentral.